UCCGAGUUGUCCCCGGCAGUCCUUUUAGAGUCCCCGGCAUUACCCGCUGGCAACUAAAAGCAGGGGUUGCGCUCGUUGCGGCACUUAAGCCAACACCUCACGGCACGAGCUGACGACAGCCAUGCAGCACCUGUGGCGCACCCUCGAAGGUCACACGUUUCCGUGCGCUUGCAGCGCCAUGUCAAGCCCAGGUAAGGUUCUUCGCGUUGCAUCGAAUUAAAGAACAUGCUCCGCUGCUUGUGCGGGCCCCCGUCAAUUCUUUUGAGUUUUAGCCUUGCGGCCGUACUCCCCAGGCGGAACACUUAAUGCGUUAGCUACGGCACAGAGGGAGUCGACACCCCCCACACCUAGUGUCCAACGUUUACGGCUAGGACUAC
Molecule: unclassified non-coding RNA, 377 nt
Filed under: uncultured Actinomycetes bacterium
Lineage: Bacteria; Bacillati; Actinomycetota; Actinomycetes
Description: uncultured actinobacterium contains 16S-23S intergenic spacer region
Source: RNAcentral